CUCCCAACCCCUGUGACAUACCAAUUGUUGCCUCGGCGGAUCAGCCCGCUCCCGGUAAAACGGGACGGCCCGCCAGAGGACCCCUAAACUCUGUUUCUAUAUGUAACUUCUGAGUAAAACCAUAAAUAAAUCAAAACUUUCAACAACAGAUCUCUUGGUUCUGGCGUCGAUGAAGAACGCAACAGAAUGCGAUAAGUAAUGGGAAUUGCAAAAUUCGGUGAAUCAUCUGAUCUUUGAACGAUCAUUGGACCCGCCAGUAUUCUGGCGGGCAUGCCUGUUCGAGCUUCGUUUCAACCCUCAAGCCCCCCGGAUUGGUGAUGGGGAUCGGCGAGCCUCAUGAUUUGCCGGCCCCUUUAUACAGAGGCGGUCUCGCUGCCCUUCCAUUGGGGACCACUGGAACCCUCUCCCCUGGUACCCGGCGCGGCCUGAUCGUUAAAGGCCCCUUCUGAAUGUUGACCUCGGAUGGGAGUGAAUACCUCCUGAACUUCCCUCAUCAAGAUCCGCUAGAAA
RNAcentral lists this non-coding RNA (510 nucleotides) under Fusarium thapsinum. Its description in RNAcentral is "eukaryotic LSU rRNA". The stretch from base 135 to 288 matches the Rfam family "5.8S ribosomal RNA". Lineage: Eukaryota; Fungi; Ascomycota; Sordariomycetes; Hypocreales; Nectriaceae. The record is from RNAcentral. RNAcentral also lists the same sequence under 1 other name.